Heterocephalus glaber (naked mole-rat) is the source of this 658-nucleotide long non-coding RNA. The record is from Ensembl. Lineage: Eukaryota; Metazoa; Chordata; Mammalia; Rodentia; Bathyergidae.
GAUGUAGUGGUAAGCAAUUAAUUCUGGGGGACUCCCUGCCUGUUGACAUGUGUGGCUCCUGCCCUGAGCAGCUCCCCUUGCUUAGAAGGCUCCUAUCCUCCUUUUCAGUAGACAAACUAAUUUGUUUUAGACUCAGUUCCCUAGGGACAAAGGUGACUCCUUCAGCCAAGGGUCUAAUUUUGGUGAAUUGUCUUGCAAGGUAAGGAGAAGAGAGACAGAGAAAAUAUUAGCAGUGGCUUACCCUUGUACAGAGCUUCCUACACCCAAGCAUGAUUCAGAUGCAUGCCCAUACUCCAGGGAGGUAUCAUUACUGUUCCUACUUUGGAAGUGGGGAUACCAAGGUACAGAGGGGCUACUCAGAUGGCCCACGGUCACACAGCCCAAAGUGGCAGAGCAGCAUUCAAAUCCAGGCAGUGCUGCUCUAAGUGUGUUGUCCUUAUCAUGGUUCUGCACAGCUCUCCACCAGGUACCUGAGAGCAGAUGGGAGUGUGCUGGAAUUGGACAGACAGUCCAGGGCCGGGUCAUCUUCAUGAUGUGUGCACCCUCAGGGCCACUGAGGGAUAUGUUCGGGAGGCUGAUGGAGCAGAGCGAGAGGGGCCACAGCAAAAUGGUUAAGAACUUUGACUCUUCAUUCAAGCCAACUGAGUUUAAACCCCAC